Molecule: long non-coding RNA, 565 nt
Organism: Selaginella moellendorffii
Lineage: Eukaryota; Viridiplantae; Streptophyta; Lycopodiopsida; Selaginellales; Selaginellaceae
Exons: 2
Source: RefSeq, a predicted model, not a curated record
UACUUAUCGUUGCACAGGGGACUCGUUGAGGUUCAAGAUAGAUUUGAAUGGCAUACACCGCCCAGGCCUUAUGACGCCUUCCACAUGGUGGUGUACGAGUUGUGGUUAAGGCACUUCACCGUGCAAUACAAGAAAUGAGAAUGACAGGGAAGUUAUUUUUUCCUUUGUCUUGGUGGACACUGUCUUGUUUUCCAGAUUCUAAGAAACUCAUACAUGGAUCCCUCGAAGGACAAACGGCAUUGUCACAUCGUUCUCCUUUUAGGCCCGUCUACUGGUCAUACCUUCACAGUAACUUGUAGUCGUGCGCCUUCAUCAAACGGCUGGAGGUGCAGCUGGAAUGCAGGUGUUUCAUACGGGUUCCUUGAUGACCUGCAUCCCUGCACAGUAUAGGUUGCCAGGAACAGGGGUUGUAACUUGGUGUUGGUGGCAAGGGUAACUCAUCGAUUGGUGGACUGAGCAGAGGUGGUGGCAAUGAAAGCUCAUAGCUUGGUGAUGGUGCAGGAGUGGGGCUUAACGUUCUCCUCCACAUGUGUCAAGUUCAUGAACUUCCAACAAGUCUUGAUCA